This 468-nucleotide ribosomal RNA is filed under the name uncultured bacterium. RNAcentral's name for it is "partial 16S ribosomal RNA". It matches the Rfam family "Bacterial small subunit ribosomal RNA", at positions 28 to 507 of the family's 1533-position model. The record is from RNAcentral.
GACGAACGCUGGCGGCGUGCUUAACACAUGCAAGUCGAACGGAAAGGCCCUGCUUUUGUGGGGUGCUCGAGUGGCGAACGGGUGAGUAACACGUGAGUAACCUGCCCUUGACUUUGGGAUAACUUCAGGAAACUGGGGCUAAUACCGGAUAGGAGCUCCUGCUGCAUGGUGGGGGUUGGAAAGUUUCGGCGGUUGGGGAUGGGCUCGCGGCUUAUCAGCUUGUUGGUGGGGUAGUGGCUUACCAAGGCUUUGACGGGUAGCCGGCCUGAGAGGGUGACCGGCCACAUUGGGACUGAGAUACGGCCCAGACUCCUACGGGAGGCAGCAGUGGGGAAUAUUGCACAAUGGGCGGAAGCCUGAUGCAGCAACGCCGCGUGCGGGAUGACGGCCUUCGGGUUGUAAACCGCUUUCGCCUGUGACGAAGCGUGAGUGACAGUAAUGGGUAAAGAAGCACCGGCUAACUACGUG